Molecule: ribosomal RNA, 468 nt
Filed under: uncultured bacterium
Lineage: Bacteria
Description: partial 16S ribosomal RNA
Rfam family: Bacterial small subunit ribosomal RNA
Source: RNAcentral
GACGAACGCUGGCGGCGUGCUUAACACAUGCAAGUCGAACGGAAAGGCCCUGCUUUUGUGGGGUGCUCGAGUGGCGAACGGGUGAGUAACACGUGAGUAACCUGCCCUUGACUUUGGGAUAACUUCAGGAAACUGGGGCUAAUACCGGAUAGGAGCUCCUGCUGCAUGGUGGGGGUUGGAAAGUUUCGGCGGUUGGGGAUGGACUCGCGGCUUAUCAGCUUGUUGGUGGGGUAGUGGCUUACCAAGGCUUUGACGGGUAGCCGGCCUGAGAGGGUGACCGGCCACAUUGGGACUGCGAUAGGGCCCAGACUCCUAUGGGAGGCAGAAGUGGGGAAUAUUGCACAAUGGGCGGAAGCGUGAUGCAGCAACGCCGCGUGCGGGAUGACGGCCUUCGGGUUGUAAACCGCUUUCGACUGUGACGAAGCGUGAGUGACGGUAAUGGGUAAAGAAGCACCGGCUAACUACGUG